UACAGAGGUCUCAAGCGUUGUUCGGAUUCAUUGGGCGUAAAGGGCGCGCAGGCGGCUACGCACGUCCGUUGUGAAAUCGCUCGGCUCAACUGGGCGGGGUCAGCGGAUACGGCGUAGCUGGAGCAAGCUAGGGGGCAAUGGAAUUCCCGGUGUAGUGGUGGAAUGCGUAGAUAUCGGGAGGAACACCAGUGGCGAAGGCGGUUGCCUGGAGCUUUGCUGACGCUGAGGCGCGAAAGCGUGGGGAGCGAUCCGG
Molecule: ribosomal RNA, 253 nt
Filed under: uncultured bacterium
Lineage: Bacteria
Description: partial 16S ribosomal RNA
Rfam family: Bacterial small subunit ribosomal RNA
Source: RNAcentral